UAUGGAGGAGCAAAAACCAAGAGUACAUAGUAGGAAGAGAAUGAGCUCUAAUGAUUAUUAUGGAAAGGGGAAUUUGCCGAAAUUAUUCAAAACCUCAUUGUUUGAAUAGUUGGGUCUACAUUGAAUAAGUGUAGAACUGUCAUAUAGGAAACUAUAUGGAGGGCUAUCUU
Molecule: non-coding RNA, 170 nt
Filed under: Candidatus Pseudogracilibacillus intestinigallinarum
Lineage: Bacteria; Bacillati; Bacillota; Bacilli; Caryophanales; Bacillaceae
Description: Lysine riboswitch
Rfam family: Lysine riboswitch aptamer
About the family: Riboswitches are metabolite binding domains within certain messenger RNAs that serve as precision sensors for their corresponding targets.
Source: RNAcentral